RNAcentral lists this ribosomal RNA (275 nucleotides) under uncultured bacterium. Its description in RNAcentral is "partial 16S ribosomal RNA". It matches the Rfam family "Bacterial small subunit ribosomal RNA", at positions 80 to 353 of the family's 1533-position model. The record is from RNAcentral.
UAAGUUUGAUGGCGACCGGCGCACGGGUGAGUAACACGUAUCCGAACCUGCCGAUGACUCGGGGAUAGCCUUUCGAAAGAAAGAUUAAUACCCGAUGGCAUAGUUCUUCCGCAUGGUAGAACUAUUAAAGAAUUUCGGUCAUCGAUGGGGAUGCGUUCCAUUAGGUUGUUGGCGGGGUAACGGCCCACCAAGCCUUCGAUGGAUAGGGGUUCUGAGAGGAAGGUCCCCCACAUUGGAACUGAGACACGGUCCAAACUCCUACGGGAGGCAGCAUG